CUAAAAUCUUGCAACCCUCCCGAGAUGAUCCACGAAGAUGGAUGCUCAGAAAUCAAAAAGAACCUUGAGACUAGGGGGAACUAUCUCUAGUGUAUUAAAAUCGUGUCUCUGUCAAGCCUAUCUGUAUCCUAAGGGGAGGCCAGUGCCAGAAUUAAUUCAUAUCUUCUUUUUCCUUCUGCACGCAGACAAAAAUUCCUCUCGCGGGUGGUUCCUGUUCUUUCAAAGGAGCAACGCAUCAUGCAAAUAAUUUUUUUUUCAGCUGUGACGUAUACAGCCCUGAGAACACGGAGCGACUUAGCACCAGGACAUCAUGCGUUCCUCCUGCGGUUUCCUGGGUGUAGGGAGGCGGCCUGGCGAGGCCCCCCUCUGGAAGGUCAGGGAUUGAUGUUCUACCCUCGCCCACUAACCUGAGCGGGCAGGCCACACGUCCUGGGGAGCCACCUCCAUUUCUCGCAGGAAGGGAAACCUCCCCGGAAGAUUUCUUUAUCCUCAUUUCCAGGCUGGAUGGAGGCACCAGCCAUUCUCACCAGCCUCAGGAGAGACCCUUGGUGUGUCCCCAGAAGGCUUCCAGAACCCCGU
This is a long non-coding RNA of Bos taurus (domestic cattle), 579 nucleotides long. Lineage: Eukaryota; Metazoa; Chordata; Mammalia; Artiodactyla; Bovidae. The record is from Ensembl.